GACAGAGGCCCCAAGCGUUAGGCGGAAUCACUGGGCUUAAAGCGUGUGUAGGCGGACGCCUAAGUGUCUUGUGAAAUCCCACGGCUCACCCGUGGAACUGCUGGGCAUACUGGGUGUCUUGGGCCAACUAGGGGCAGCCGGAACAAGCGGUGAAGCGGUGAAAUGCGUAGAUAUCGCUUGGAACGCCGAAGGUGAAAACAGGCUGCUGGGGUUGCGCCGACGCUGAGACACGAAAGCCAGGGGAGCAAACGGG
Molecule: ribosomal RNA, 253 nt
Filed under: uncultured bacterium
Lineage: Bacteria
Description: partial 16S ribosomal RNA
Rfam family: Bacterial small subunit ribosomal RNA
Source: RNAcentral